AGCUCCAAUAGCGUAUAUUAAAGUUGUUGUGGUUAAAAAGCUCGUAGUUGGAUCUCGGCGGACUGGGAGCGGUUCGCUCGCUAGAGUGCUACUGCUCCAUAGUCCGUAGUUUUGCCAGAGGUCUCGGGGUGCUCUUAACCGAGUGUCCCGCGAUGCUGGCGGGUUUACUUUGAAAAAAUUAGAGUGCUCAAAGCAGGCUUUUACGCCUGAAUAUUCGUGCAUGGAAUAAUGGAAUAGGAAGUCGUUUCUAUUUUGUUGGUUUUCGGAAAUCGACUUAAUGAUUAAUAGGGACAGUCGGGGGCAUUUGUAUUCAAACGACAGAGGUGAAAUUCUUGGACCGUUUGAAGACAAACUACUGCGAAAGCAUUUGCCAAGAAUGUUUUCA
RNAcentral lists this ribosomal RNA (385 nucleotides) under uncultured eukaryote. RNAcentral describes it as "SSU rRNA". It matches the Rfam family "Eukaryotic small subunit ribosomal RNA", at positions 587 to 972 of the family's 1831-position model. RNAcentral also lists the same sequence under 1 other name. The record is from RNAcentral.